Molecule: transfer-messenger RNA, 391 nt
Filed under: pig gut metagenome
Rfam family: transfer-messenger RNA
About the family: Bacterial tmRNA, also known as 10Sa RNA or SsrA, is named for its dual tRNA and mRNA-like properties. Its role is to liberate the mRNA from a stalled ribosome.
Source: RNAcentral
GACUGGAUUUGACAGCGGGCAGAACGGAUAUGUAAGCAUGCAGUGUGUUGGUCGUGGCCACUAUAAUCACAAUGACCGGAAAUUUAUAUGGCGAAAAUAACUACGCUCUCGCUGCGUAAUUGAAGUACAGUAGAUUACCUUUAUCCUGAUGCCAGGCGUCGGGACGAGACAUCACCCGGUAGCUGUUGUUCCGAAGCUUAUCGAAUCGUGUGGUGCAGCAAAUCGGAAAUAGUUGGGGACGGCCUCGCGUCCUUGAUGAAAUUUUUAGAGGAUAAGCGGUAGAAUGGCUUGCUCUUUUCUUUUCUAUCGCUGACAGUCAGAAAGAGAUAAGCAUGUAGAAAGCAUCUUCUUUCCCCGUUUGGACGAGGGUUCGAUUCCCUCCUGGUCCACC